UACAGAGGUCCCGAGCGUUGUUCGGAUUCACUGGGCGUAAAGGGUGCGUAGGUGGCGAGGUAAGUCGGAUGUGAAAGCUCGGAGCUCAACUCCGAAAUGGCAUUGGAAACUACCUUGCUCGAGGGUUGGAGGGGGGACUGGAAUACUUGGUGUAGCAGUGAAAUGCGUAGAUAUCAAGUGGAACACCAGUGGCGAAGGCGAGUCCCUGGACACUUCCUGACACUGAGGCACGAAAGCUAGGGGAGCAAACAGG
RNAcentral lists this ribosomal RNA (253 nucleotides) under uncultured bacterium. RNAcentral describes it as "partial 16S ribosomal RNA". It matches the Rfam family "Bacterial small subunit ribosomal RNA", at positions 524 to 776 of the family's 1533-position model. The record is from RNAcentral.